Long non-coding RNA from Cyprinus carpio carpio, 2538 nucleotides. Lineage: Eukaryota; Metazoa; Chordata; Actinopteri; Cypriniformes; Cyprinidae. The record is from Ensembl.
UUCACGGUCGAGAAGCAGAUCAACGAAGUCACCUACAGGCUACACCUACCCCCCAGGUACCACAUUCACCCCUCUUUCCAUGUGUCCCUACUAAAACCCUUCUCUCCUGGCACUCCAGAUGCCCCAGAACCACAGGAACCCCCUCCUCUGGAGAUCCUCGAUCAACCAUCUGUGUACCAAGUUAAGGACAUCCUGGACUCAUGACAACGGGGUGCCUGGCUCGAGUACCUGGUGGAAUGGGAGGGGCAUGGACCAGAGGAGCAUUCCUGGGUGGCCCGGGACGAUAUCCUAGAUCCUAUGCUUCUGGAGGAAUUCCAUCGACUACAUCCAAAUUGACCCACACCCAGAGCCCAGGUCGCCCUCAUCGUCGCAUCAGGGCAUCAGGAGCCACCCCUGGAGGAGGAGAUCUCCAUUGCCAUCCUCCAGCGAAUCUCCAUUGCUGUCUCCCCCUGUCUUACUCACCAGAGCAGGGCUUCAUCCAUUCAGUGACUUUCCAUAUCGUUGUCAUACUGCAUCCUGUUUAUAAACCAUCUGCUUCACUAACCCUCCGUCUCUAUCCUGGUUUGUGACAAGAUCUGUGCAUUUUAUGUUAUUCUACCGUCAAGCAAUUUAACACCCAAAUACAACCUGAAGUUGAACCAUUCAUAAUGUAAGACCACAAUAUUCAGUGUAAUAAGCGUCUAUGGCAUUUGAAUAAAUAAACUGUUAUGCCACUAAUCUGAAUGUUUGGCAAGGAUAUUUGGAAUAAAAUAACCUUUUUUUGUUGUUGUUUGUUUUGUUUUGUUUCAGAGCCUACAAUUGACAAAUUCAUUAAAGUUACAGCAGUAAAAGUAAGAGUUUUAUAUGUUCUUAAGAAAUGUCAGCAGUGCUUGCUUGUGCAAAACUCACCACCAUAAGUAGUUACCCGCAGGUUGCUAAAGGUGUUAGCAUGUUGCUAUGCUGGUUGUUAGCAUGCAUAAAUGUGGUUUAUGGUGUGUUCUGGGGGAUUUCUUAAGGCAGGAAUACACUACAUGACUUUUGCCCGUUUUUUCCCCCAAUGUGCAAUUUAAAUGAGUCAGGAAUAGUUGCCAAACGUCAGAGCCAGUUACAGAAUUGGGCGGCCUGAGUUGAGAGAUUUCACAGAAAUUCACUUUGUUUAUGAUGGGCACAGACUCAUAUUUGAUUAUGAUUCCAUCCAGUCAGAGGAUAUAAAUCAUGUUUGAUAUUUUGAGCCGGUUUUAGAACAAAUAUUGUUUUCAUUUGUCAUGCAAAUGUUUCAGUUUUUCUCUAUAAUCAUUUACAGAGUUGGCAAGCCUUUACUUGUGGGCGUCAAAAAGAGCUCACCAUCAAGUCUCAAUUAUAUUCUGAGCACUAAACACUGUAUAUCUUGGCUUCUUUAUUUAGUGUAAGGAAUGGAACUUUUUUCCCUAUUAUAUUGUUCAUCAGGCAACAAAAAUUCUAGCCAUAACCCUUCCAAUAAAGCAUUUUGAUCUUUUGAUAACUGAUCAGUUAACAGGGUCUAUCUGACUGUACUGGUUUGUUUUCAUAGAACACAAAUGAUAAUGUGUGAUAUGCAAAUAAAAAUGAUAUGUAAAUUAUGACACCUUAAUUUGAUCAUGACAUUUGAAGUCUUGAAUCCUGUGGAUGGCUUGUGGUAAUAAAGUGAACUGAGUAUUUUGUGUUUCCAAGCGGGCAAUUAUGCAUUAAUUAUGAAUUGCUGAAAACUAUAUAAAAGAAGAAAUGCUGAUUAUGUUCAUAAAAUUAACUUGCUGGUAAUUAAAACCAAUUACAGACAAAAGCCUCUCCACAAAAGUGAAUCAAGCACUCGCUCGGAAAUUAGAUGUCUAAUUCACUGGGUGGAAAAUAACACAGGGAAUGGAAAUAUUACAUGACAAUCAAAUCUGCAUAUUUAAUCAUUUUAACAAAACACUGACUGGAGAUGUGUUUAAAUAUCAAUAUAUUACAUAAUGAAGUCAUGCAGGACUAGCAUUAUUUGAUUAUAUCUAAAUAGUUUCAAGGUUAUUGAACGUAAGCAUUGACACUUUUUAUAGUAUGACAUACAUUGUAAACUAAUGCACACUGUAAACUAAACACUGUACAGGAAAUUGCAUUGCCAUAAUUAGAAUCUGGGGGUGUAAAUUGUCAUGAAAAUAAUGUCACAAUGCAAAUAAUUGUUCUGAAAUAUGAUUAAUCUUCUUUAAGGUAAGACACCCCAGGUGAAUGUGAUAAAAAUAAAAAAUAAAAAAGUAAUAUAUAUAUAUAUAUAACCCUAUUUUCCCAAUUGAUACUUACAUUAAGAAAUGCAAUCAUUUUUUAUAUAACAAGUUUUCUAAAAUACUGUUUAAAUGUCAAUAUUUAGCCAUUAUCUAAUUAAAUAUGCACCAUCUUUGUCGACACAUUUUUACAGGCAGGAUUUUAAGCAGAAAAUACUGUUAACAGCUUGAAAAUAAUAAUAAUAAUAAUAAUAAUAAUAAUUUGCAUAUAUAUAUAUAUAUAUAUAUAUAUAUAUAUAUAUAUAUAUAUAUAUAUAUAUAUAUAUAUAUAUAUAUAUAUCUCAGU